AGCGAACGCUGGCGGCGUGCCUAACACAUGCAAGUCGAACGUGAAAAGGGAAACCUGAGUAAAGUGGCGUACGGGUGGGUAACGCGUAGGUAAUCUACCCCAGAAUCUGGAAUAACCUGCCGAAAGGCGGGCUAAUACUGGAUAGAGCGAGGGAACUCGUAAGAGAGUUUUUCGGGAAAGGGAGCCCGCAAGGGCCUUCGUUCUGGGAUGAGCCUGCGUCUCAUUAGCUAGUUGGUAAGGUAACGGCUUACCAAGGCGAUGAUGAGUAGCUGGUCUGAGAGGAUGAUCAGCCACACUGGAACUGAAACACGGUCCAGACUCCUACGGGAGGCAGCAGUGGGGAAUCUUGCGCAAUGGACGAAAGUCUGACGCAGCCACGCCGCGUGAGUGAAGAAGGCCUUCGGGUUGUAAAGCUCUGUCGGAUGGGACGAACAUCUUCAUAGUGAAUAGCUAUGAGGACUGACGGUACCAUCAAAGGAAGCACCGGCUAACUCCGUG
Molecule: ribosomal RNA, 498 nt
Filed under: uncultured bacterium
Lineage: Bacteria
Description: partial 16S ribosomal RNA
Rfam family: Bacterial small subunit ribosomal RNA
Source: RNAcentral